Molecule: ribosomal RNA, 209 nt
Filed under: uncultured bacterium
Lineage: Bacteria
Description: partial 16S ribosomal RNA
Rfam family: Bacterial small subunit ribosomal RNA
Source: RNAcentral
UGCGUAGGUGGUGAGGAAAGUCUGAUGUGAAAGCUCGGAGCUUAACUCCGAAAUGGCAUUGGAAACUACCUUGCUGGAGGGGUUGGGAGGGGGGACUGGAAUACUUGGUGUAGCAGUGAAAUGCGUAGAUAUCAAGUGGAACACCAGUGGCGAAGGCGAGUCCCUGGACAACACCUGACACUGAGGCACGAAAGCUAGGGAGGCAAACG